CCCUUUUUAAGCUUGUCCCUCAUUGCAUACUGGAUAACUCAAUAUGACUUGUUACCAAGAUCUUGUUCAAGUGUAGAGAGACUGGCUUUUGGGGUCUUCCAAGAGCCAAAUUUGAAAAAACAACAGAGUCGUGGACGUGGACAAGAGAAAAAGAGAGAGAAGAGAGAGUGCAGAGAUGAUUCGGAGACUGGAGACGUGCAUAGCACUGGUUAAACUGGCCAUAAAUUUUGUGAUAGUGGUAGCAGAAGCACUUGGGACGGUCAUUGAAGAGAACAACUCUCAUCGUCAGCUACAUAGGAUGUCGAGUAACGCCAUUUCGAUCCCUUCUGUUGGUUUUCUUCCUUAUUGAUUUUCAUUUGUCUAUGAAUUUCUUCAUUGUGAUCAGGCACACACACACUGCUAGCUGAUCAUGAGGUUGCUUUUCUUUGUGUUUGGUUAUGUUUUUUUGUUUUCGCUGGAGUAGUAAACAUGUAUACAUAUAUAUAUAUAUAUAUAGGCAAGGUUUCUGUGAAUUCA
Molecule: long non-coding RNA, 516 nt
Organism: Tripterygium wilfordii
Lineage: Eukaryota; Viridiplantae; Streptophyta; Magnoliopsida; Celastrales; Celastraceae
Exons: 2
Source: RefSeq, a predicted model, not a curated record